This 551-nucleotide ribosomal RNA is filed under the name uncultured Actinomycetes bacterium. Its description in RNAcentral is "bacterial SSU rRNA". It matches the Rfam family "Bacterial small subunit ribosomal RNA", at positions 868 to 1422 of the family's 1533-position model. The record is from RNAcentral. Lineage: Bacteria; Bacillati; Actinomycetota; Actinomycetes.
CCCGCCUGGGGAGUACGAUCGCAAGAUUAAAACUCAAAGGAAUUGACGGGUCCCCGCACAAGCAGCGGAGCAUGCGGCUUAAUUCGACGCAACGCGAAGAACCUUACCAAGGCUUGACAUAUACAGGAAUAUGGCAGAGAUGUCAUAGCCGCAAGGUCUGUAUACAGGUGGUGCAUGGUUGUCGUCAGCUCGUGUCGUGAGAUGUUGGGUUAAGUCCCGCAACGAGCGCAACCCUCGUUCUGUGUUGCCAGCAUUUAGUUGGGGACUCACAGGAGACUCCCGGGGUCAACUCGGAGGAAGGUGGGGAUGACGUCAAAUCAUCAUGCCCCUUAUGUCUUGGGCUGCACGCAUGCUACAAUGGCUGGUACAAAGGGCUGCAAUACUGCAAAGUGGAGCGAAUCCCAAAAAGCCAGUCUCAGUUCGGAUUGGGGUCUGCAACUCGACCCCAUGAAGUCGGAGUUGCUAGUAAUCGUAGAUCAGCAACGCUACGGUGAAUACGUUCCCGGGGCUUGUACACACCGCCCGUCACAUCACGAAAGUCGGUAACACCC